GAGAGAGACAUGCGCGCAUAUCAAUAAGCGGAGGAAAAGAAACUAACAAGGAUUCCCUUAGUAACGGCGAGUGAAGCGGGAAGAGCUCAAAUUUGAAAUCUUCAAGGUUUUACCUUGACGAAUUGUAGUUUAAAGAAGUGUUUUCUGCUGAAGUUUUGGUAAAAGUUCUUUGGAAUAGGACAUCAUAGAGGGUGAGAACCCCGUAUUUGACCAUUAUUUUCAGCUUUGUGAUACACUUUCAAAGAGUCGGAUUGUUUGGGAAUGCAGUCCAAAAUGGGUGGUAAAUUUCAUCUAAAGCUAAAUAUUGGCGAGAGACCGAUAGCGAACAAGUACCGUGAGGGAAAGAUGAAAAGAACUUUGAAAAGAGAGUUAAACAGUACGUGAAAUUGUCAAAAGGGAAGCGUUUGACACCAGUGUUGUUUUCUCGAAAAUCAAUUAAAAAUGGCUCGAUUUUGUAUUGCUUGAGACCUUAAAAGCUCACUGUACAUUUUUCGUGUCUUUUUUAAUGCACUUUUCGUUUAACAAGUCAACAUCAGUUUCUUUUGUUGUAAAAGGGGUCAUUGGAAGGUGGCUUUCUUUUCGGAGAAAGUGUUUAUAGCCUUUGGCCUCUGCAAUCGGAGAGACUGAGGUCUGCAGCGUAGACUCUUCGGGGUUAGAUACAUUUGUGCUAAGUUAUAGCUUUUUAUAGACAACCUGUUGACUAUAAUUAGUCUUGUAGCUUACUCGCUUAUGCUAUUUUACCUACGCUUAGGAUGUUGAGUCGUAGAGCACGCAG
This 775-nucleotide ribosomal RNA is filed under the name uncultured Neocallimastigales. RNAcentral describes it as "partial large subunit ribosomal RNA". It matches the Rfam family "Eukaryotic large subunit ribosomal RNA", at positions 23 to 626 of the family's 3401-position model. Lineage: Eukaryota; Fungi; Neocallimastigomycota; Neocallimastigomycetes; Neocallimastigales. The record is from RNAcentral.